This 1001-nucleotide long non-coding RNA is filed under the name Homo sapiens (human). Its description in RNAcentral is "TRABD antisense RNA 1 (TRABD-AS1)". Lineage: Eukaryota; Metazoa; Chordata; Mammalia; Primates; Hominidae. The record is from RNAcentral.
CGGCGUCACGGGGCGCGCGCUGAUGCGAACGGGGUGACAGAUGGGAACGCCUCCGAGACCGCCAGCGACGACCCCGCUCGGGCAGCCCCGGAUUUCCUCGGCUGCACCGGCGCCGGCAGCGGGGACCGAGGCCCGCGUCCGUUCGGGUCGGGCCGGGGCUUAGCCCCGCGCCCCACGGGCGGCCGGGACCCCACCCGGACCCCGCCGCGGUUCUGGGCCGCCGGAGCCUCGCGCCGCCUCUCGGGGACCUUGUCCCCUGGCCUCCGGCCUCUCGGGCCCCUCGCCUGCCGUCUAGGAGGGAAGGGGCCUUGGAUCUGUGCCCCGCCCAUGGAACAGCGCCCGGGCUCGGAGAGGCCCCGCGAGGCCGCAGGCGCAGACCCUCCCGGAGGGCUGGGCGGGCACCGGGGUCUUCGGCUGGCUUGAGGGACCCGACCCCUGGGGGAGGAAUUUGGGGUCUGUGUGUCCGAAUGAACGCGGGGGUUCAGAUGAGUCUGUGGUGCCCCCGCUUUCCAUCUCCUCCGGCCCCGGCCCCAGAGGACUGUCUGAGAGGCCGGUGGCCGCGGAUCCUGGACGCGCCUCCCUCCUGCCUGUGGUUUCCCUUUAUUCCGGCAGCGGCGCGAGCCCACCCUUCACAUACAGGAGCUACAUCCAGAAGCUUCUCCUGGGGCCACAGCGUGGGCUUCCGAGACUCUGCGUGACCCCAGCUCUGCCCCUUUGGGGCUGCGGGUGAAGCCCUCAGGACCCUCCGCGUGCGUUGGGCAGGUGCACACAUUGUCUGCCCAGAGAGGGCCAAGAUGCCCCAGGCACCCCUUCGCUCCGGGGGCUCAGGACACAGGCUCCCAGCUGAGGCCACGCCUGGACCCAGAGCUGAUGUUUGGCUGCACGCGAGCCCACUCGGGACAGACCCAAGAACACGAAUUCUCUCCCUUUGGAUUUAAGGCUGGUGUUUUUUGACAUUUACUUCAGUUUUUCUCUCUGAAAUUAAAAUUACCUGAGUAAAA